RNAcentral lists this ribosomal RNA (406 nucleotides) under uncultured bacterium. RNAcentral describes it as "partial 16S ribosomal RNA". It matches the Rfam family "Bacterial small subunit ribosomal RNA", at positions 30 to 526 of the family's 1533-position model. The record is from RNAcentral.
AUUGAACGCUGGCGGCAGGCUUAACACAUGCAAGUCGAGCGAGUGUCGGCCGGGUGAGUAAUGUCUGUUAAACUGCCUGAUGGAGGGGGAUCACUACUGGAAACUGUAUCUAAUACCGCCUACCAUCAGAUGUUCCCAGAUGGGAUUAGCAAGGAGUUGGCUUAAUGGCUCACGUAGGCGACGAUCCCUAGCUGGUCUGAGAGGAUGACCAGCGAGCAGGGAAAAGAGACACGGUCCAGAUUACUACGGGAGGCAGCAGUGGGGAAUAUGGCACAAUGGGCGAAAGACUGAGGCAGCCAUGCUGCGUGUGUGAAGAAGGCCUACGGAUUGUAAAGAACUUGCAGGGAGGAGGCGUGACUCGCAGAAGAAGCACCGGCUAACUCCGUGCCAGCAGCCGCGGUAAUUC